RNAcentral lists this transfer RNA (75 nucleotides) under Clostridiaceae bacterium. Its description in RNAcentral is "tRNA-Arg". It matches the Rfam family "tRNA". Rfam says of the family: Transfer RNA (tRNA) molecules are approximately 80 nucleotides in length. Their secondary structure includes four short double-helical elements and three loops (D, anti-codon, and T loops). Further hydrogen bonds mediate the characteristic L-shaped molecular structure. tRNAs have two regions of fundamental functional importance: the anti-codon, which is responsible for specific mRNA codon recognition, and the 3' end, to which the tRNAs corresponding amino acid is attached (by aminoacyl-tRNA synthetases). tRNAs cope with the degeneracy of the genetic code in two manners: having more than one tRNA (with a specific anti-codon) for a particular amino acid; and 'wobble' base-pairing, i.e. permitting non-standard base-pairing at the 3rd anti-codon position. Lineage: Bacteria; Bacillati; Bacillota; Clostridia; Eubacteriales; Clostridiaceae. The record is from RNAcentral.
GCCCCCAUAGCCUAAUGGAUAGGGCAGCAGAUUCCGGUUCUGUGUGUGUGGGUUCGAUUCCUACUGGGGGUACCA